Long non-coding RNA from Antechinus flavipes (yellow-footed antechinus), 312 nucleotides. RefSeq lists it as uncharacterized. NCBI's taxonomy places the organism in Eukaryota, Metazoa, Chordata, Mammalia, Dasyuromorphia, Dasyuridae. The record is from RefSeq and is a predicted model, not a curated record. The transcript has 2 exons.
GUCAACAAUAUCAGGGCCAGUACAUUGCCCAGUAACCCAGCAGCAAAAAGAGUCCCGGUGAUCGCUGAGGAGCUCCCGCUCUCCACCCAGCAUGAUAACUGCGGAAAUAUGUGUAGAAGAAUUGCACUUUUUUUUUUUUUUUUUAACAUAUAUUACUUGCCAUGCAAGGAAGUGGAAAGGAAGGGAAAAGAAGAGGAAUGGAGUGAGAAAAAAACUUGGAACACAAGAUUUUGCAAAGGUGAAUGUUGAAAACUAUGUCUAUAUUUUAAAAUUUUUAAAACUUAAAAAAAAAAAGAAAAAGAAAAAAAAUAA